GCGAAAACUUUACAAUGCCGGCAACGGCGAUAAGGGGACCUCGAGUGCCAGGUUACAAAUCUGGCUGUCGUGAUGCCUAAAAAGCAUUGCAUAGCAAGGGCCGGGCAAGACCGGUGCCAGCCGCCGCGGUAACACCGGCGGCUCGAGUGGUAACCGUUAUUAUUGGGUCUAAAGGGUCUGUAGCCGGCCGGAUAAGUCUCUUGAGAAAUCUGGCAGCUUAACUGUCAGGCUUUCAGGAGAUACUGUCUGGCUCGAGGCCGGGAGAGGUGAGAGGUACUUCAGGGGUAGGGGUGAAAUCUUGUAAUCCUUGAAGGACCACCAGUGGCGAAGGCGUCUCACCAGAACGGACCUGACGGCAAGGGACGAAAGCUAGGGGCACGAACC
RNAcentral lists this ribosomal RNA (384 nucleotides) under uncultured prokaryote. RNAcentral describes it as "bacterial SSU rRNA". It matches the Rfam family "Archaeal small subunit ribosomal RNA", at positions 341 to 725 of the family's 1478-position model. The record is from RNAcentral.